CUGAGGAGCGAAAGCAUGGGGAGCGAACAGGAUUAGAUACCCUGGUAGUCCAUGCCGUAAACGUUGGGCACUAGGUGUGGGGGACAUUCCACGUUUUCCGCGCCGUAGCUAACGCAUUAAGUGCCCCGCCUGGGGAGUACGGCCGCAAGGCUAAAACUCAAAGGAAUUGACGGGGGCCCGCACAAGCGGCGGAGCAUGCGGAUUAAUUCGAUGCAACGCGAAGAACCUUACCAAGGCUUGACAUGGACCGGAAAGACCUGGAAACAGGUGCCCCGCUUGCGGCCGGUUUACAGGUGGUGCAUGGUUGUCGUCAGCUCGUGUCGUGAGAUGUUGGGUUAAGUCCCGCAACGAGCGCAACCCUCGUUCUAUGUUGCCAGCGGUUCGGCCGGGGACUCAUAGGAGACUGCCGGGGUCAACUCGGAGGAAGGUGGGGACGACGUCAAAUCAUCAUGCCCCUUAUGUCUUGGGCUUCACGCAUGCUACAAUGGCCGGUACAAAGGGUUGCGAUACUGUGAGGUGGAGCUAAUCCCAAAAAGCCGGUCUCAGUUCGGAUUGGGGUCUGCAACUCGACCCCAUGAAGUCGGAGUCGCUAGUAAUCGCAGAUCAGCAACGCUGCGGUGAAUACGUUCCCGGGCCUUGUACACACCGCCCGUCAAGUCACGAAAGUUGGUAACACCCGAAGCCGGUGGCCUAACCCUUGUGGGGGGAGCCGUCGAAGGUGGGACCGGCGAUUGGGACUAAGUCGUAACAAGGUAGCCG
Molecule: ribosomal RNA, 759 nt
Filed under: Arthrobacter sp. T052-12
Lineage: Bacteria; Bacillati; Actinomycetota; Actinomycetes; Micrococcales; Micrococcaceae
Description: bacterial SSU rRNA
Rfam family: Bacterial small subunit ribosomal RNA
Source: RNAcentral